This 253-nucleotide ribosomal RNA is filed under the name uncultured bacterium. RNAcentral describes it as "partial 16S ribosomal RNA". It matches the Rfam family "Bacterial small subunit ribosomal RNA", at positions 524 to 776 of the family's 1533-position model. The record is from RNAcentral.
UACGGAGGGUGCAAGCGUUGCUCGGAAUUAUUGGGCGUAAAGGGUAGGUAGGUGGUCUCAUUUGUCUGGGGUGAAAGCCUUGAGCUUAACUCAAGAAGUGCCCCAGAAACGGUGAGACUAGAGUCCUGGAGAGGGUCGUGGAAUUCCCGGUGUAGCGGUGAAAUGCGUAGAGAUCGGGAGGAACACCUGAGGCGAAAGCGGCGACCUGGACAGGUACUGACACUCAACUACGAAAGCGUGGGGAGCAAACAGG